Molecule: ribosomal RNA, 1004 nt
Filed under: Escherichia coli 1-110-08_S4_C2
Lineage: Bacteria; Pseudomonadati; Pseudomonadota; Gammaproteobacteria; Enterobacterales; Enterobacteriaceae
Description: bacterial LSU rRNA
Rfam family: Bacterial large subunit ribosomal RNA
Source: RNAcentral
AAACGGCGGCCGUAACUAUAACGGUCCUAAGGUAGCGAAAUUCCUUGUCGGGUAAGUUCCGACCUGCACGAAUGGCGUAAUGAUGGCCAGGCUGUCUCCACCCGAGACUCAGUGAAAUUGAACUCGCUGUGAAGAUGCAGUGUACCCGCGGCAAGACGGAAAGACCCCGUGAACCUUUACUAUAGCUUGACACUGAACAUUGAGCCUUGAUGUGUAGGAUAGGUGGGAGGCUUUGAAGUGUGGACGCCAGUCUGCAUGGAGCCGACCUUGAAAUACCACCCUUUAAUGUUUGAUGUUCUAACGUUGACCCGUAUCCGGGUUGCGGACAGUGUCUGGUGGGUAGUUUGACUGGGGCGGUCUCCUCCUAAAGAGUAACGGAGGAGCACGAAGGUUGGCUAAUCCUGGUCGGACAUCAGGAGGUUAGUGCAAUGGCAUAAGCCAGCUUGACUGCGAGCGUGACGGCGCGAGCAGGUGCGAAAGCAGGUCAUAGUGAUCCGGUGGUUCUGAAUGGAAGGGCCAUCGCUCAACGGAUAAAAGGUACUCCGGGGAUAACAGGCUGAUACCGCCCAAGAGUUCAUAUCGACGGCGGUGUUUGGCACCUCGAUGUCGGCUCAUCACAUCCUGGGGCUGAAGUAGGUCCCAAGGGUAUGGCUGUUCGCCAUUUAAAGUGGUACGCGAGCUGGGUUUAGAACGUCGUGAGACAGUUCGGUCCCUAUCUGCCGUGGGCGCUGGAGAACUGAGGGGGGCUGCUCCUAGUACGAGAGGACCGGAGUGGACGCAUCACUGGUGUUCGGGUUGUCAUGCCAAUGGCACUGCCCGGUAGCUAAAUGCGGAAGAGAUAAGUGCUGAAAGCAUCUAAGCACGAAACUUGCCCCGAGAUGAGUUCUCCCUGACUCCUUGAGAGUCCUGAAGGAACGUUGAAGACGACGACGUUGAUAGGCCGGGUGUGUAAGCGCAGCGAUGCGUUGAGCUAACCGGUACUAAUGAACCGUGAGGCUUAACCU